CGUGAAGGCGGCCAACUAAGUCGGAUGUGAAAUCCCCAGGCUCAACCUGGGAACUGCAUCCGAUACUGGAUGGCUUGAAUUCGGGAGAGGGAUGCAGAAUUCCAGGUGUAGCGGUGAAAUGCGUAGAUAUCUGGAGGAAUACCGGUGGCGAAGGCGGCAUCCUGGACCGACAUUGACGCUGUAGCGCGAAAGGCUAGGGGAGCAAACG
RNAcentral lists this ribosomal RNA (208 nucleotides) under uncultured bacterium. RNAcentral's name for it is "partial 16S ribosomal RNA". It matches the Rfam family "Bacterial small subunit ribosomal RNA", at positions 568 to 774 of the family's 1533-position model. The record is from RNAcentral.